AUUGAACGCUGGCGGCAUGCUUUACACAUGCAAGUCGAACGGUAACAGGGAGCUUGCUCCGCUGACGAGUGGCGAACGGGUGAGUAAUAUAUCGGAACGUACCCAGAAGUGGGGGAUAACGUAGCGAAAGUUACGCUAAUACCGCAUACGAUCCACGGAUGAAAGUAGGGGACCUUCGGGCCUCUUGCUUUUGGAGCGGCCGAUAUCUGAUUAGCUAGUUGGUGAGGUAAAGGCUCACCAAGGCGACGAUCAGUAGCUGGUCUGAGAGGACGACCAGCCAAACUGGAACUGAGACACGGUCCAGACUCCUACGGGAGGCAGCAGUGGGGAAUUUUGGACAAUGGGCGCAAGCCUGAUCCAGCAAUGCCGCGUGAGUGAAGAAGGCCUUCGGGUUGUAAAGCUCUUUUGUCAGGGAAGAAACGGCUGUGGCUAAUAUCCACGGCUAAUGACGGUACCUGAAGAAUAAGCACCGGCUAACUACGUGCCAGCAGCCGCCGUAA
This 500-nucleotide ribosomal RNA is filed under the name uncultured bacterium. RNAcentral describes it as "partial 16S ribosomal RNA". It matches the Rfam family "Bacterial small subunit ribosomal RNA", at positions 30 to 523 of the family's 1533-position model. The record is from RNAcentral.